GACGAACGCUGGCGGCGUGCUUAACACAUGCAAGUCGAACGGUAAGGCCCUUCGGGGUACACGAGUGGCGAACGGGUGAGUAACACGUGGGUGAUCUGCCCUGCGCUUCGGGAUAAGCCUGGGAAACUGGGUCUAAUACCGGAUAGGACUCCUGGCUUCAUGGUUGGGGGUGGAAAGCUUUUGCGGUGUGGGAGGGGCCCGCGGCCUACCAGCUUGUUGGUGGGGUAAUGGCCUACCAAGGCGACGACGGGUAGCCGGCCUGAGAGGGUGACCGGUCACACUGGGACUGAGAUACGGCCCAGACUCCUACGGGAGGCAGCAGUGGGGAAUAUUGCACAAUGGGCGCAAGCCUGAUGCAGCGACGCCGCGUGAGGGAUGACGGCCUUCGGGUUGUAAACCUCUUUCAGCUAUGACGAAGCGCAAGUGACGGUAGUAGCAGAAGAAGGACCGGCCAACUACGUGCCAGCAGCCGCCGUAA
This 478-nucleotide ribosomal RNA is filed under the name uncultured bacterium. RNAcentral describes it as "partial 16S ribosomal RNA". It matches the Rfam family "Bacterial small subunit ribosomal RNA", at positions 28 to 523 of the family's 1533-position model. The record is from RNAcentral.